RNAcentral lists this ribosomal RNA (264 nucleotides) under uncultured bacterium. Its description in RNAcentral is "partial 16S ribosomal RNA". It matches the Rfam family "Bacterial small subunit ribosomal RNA", at positions 90 to 354 of the family's 1533-position model. The record is from RNAcentral.
UUCGAGUGGCGGACGGGUGAGUAACGCGUGGGUAACCUGCCUUACACAGGGGGAUAACACCUGGAAACAGGUGCUAAUACCGCAUAAGCGCACAGGGCCGCAUGGCCCGGUGUGAAAAACUCCGGUGGUGUAAGAUGGACCCGCGUCUGAUUAGCUUGUUGGCGGGGUAGAGGCCCACCAAGGCGACGAUCAGUAGCCGGCCUGAGAGGGUGGGCGGCCACAUUGGGACUGAGACACGGCCCAAACUCCUACGGAAGGCAGCAG